AAGAAAGCUUGUUUAAGUGACCUCUAGGAUUUUGAAAGAGAGCUCUUGAUCAUGAGAGGUUUUAAUCUCAAUUGAUCAUAUGUUUCCGCAAUUGAAGGUAAAACCGACGCGGAGGAUCAUUCGGAUUGAGAUUCCGUUGAGCCGGUGGUGGUCAAAGUGAAGAAAAUUCUAUUUUUGCUUCAUUUGUCGCAGUUGGAAGAAAACGACGGCCAUAAAUCGCGCUACUAGGCUACUCGCUUCGUGUUGACAUCACGAGAGCCUAGUUCGAGCGCGUGUGUCGAGGAUCGCGGCAAGGGCGUCGCGCAGUAGAUAGCAUGGACCACCGGCAUUAGCUCACUACCCUCGAGUAGAAUAAAAAGAAAAGAAUGAUAUGUAAAACCCUUUUGUGAAGAAAUGUAAUGUAUUUGAGAGAUGGUAUUUUGGUUGUAUGUAUGAAAAGUAAAGUGAAAUAUGUAAUGGUUCAUGUGUGUGAACAAGUAAUGUAAUAGAUAAUUUACAAUUCUCUUGUAUCUGUGAU
Ananas comosus (pineapple) is the source of this 517-nucleotide long non-coding RNA. RefSeq lists it as uncharacterized. The record is from RefSeq and is a predicted model, not a curated record. Lineage: Eukaryota; Viridiplantae; Streptophyta; Magnoliopsida; Poales; Bromeliaceae. The transcript has 3 exons.